UCAAAAAUGUCAAUCACUUUCCUAAUGAGUCUGUUUUUGUUUGCAGAUAUCACGGCGUCACAGCCCAUAGUCCAGCAGUCCCCGGCCUCCAUCCUGGUAGAGCCGGGACAAGCUGCCCGUCUCCACUGUUACCACGGCGAUAACAGCUACCCCUACAUGCUCUGGUACCAGUCGGCGGCGGGAGGCGGGCGACGGACCAUGGACCUGAUCGGACUGCUUCACUACGAAAACCAAAGUCCCGAGAAGGGCUUUGAGAGUCGCUUCAACAUGACGGGUCACUCGAAAGGCAAAGCUCAGCUGAUCGUCUCCGACGCCAAACCUGGAGACACAGCAGAGUAUUUCUGCGCAGCGAGUUAACACACUGCUUCAUUUCCCCUGGCUGCUGCACAAAAACACUCCAGCUCACACCUGCGUGGGCUGAGAGAUAAACGUUUGGUAAGAGGUGUGCUGCAUAAGACUGACACGACACCUGUCAUGAACACGAAGGAGUCUUUAUGAAUGUGUACGACCGUUGCCAUGAACAUGUUGUCAUUCGGUAAAUCAUGACACUUUUAAUGCAAAGUUGCUCUAAAGGUUGCAUCAAAAGUUCAUUAAAAGUGUCAACUUUGCAUUAAAGUGUCAUUAUUUACCCAAUAAUUCAAAGCUGGCCCCAUUAAAGGACUUUUAAUGCAACUUUUAAAGCAUUAAAAGUGUCAUUAUUUACCAAAUGACACCAGUCAUAAACACUCCUUCAUGUGUUAUAUCAUGUUUAUGACAGUGUCAUGUCAGUUUU
Molecule: non-coding RNA, 772 nt
Organism: Xiphophorus hellerii (green swordtail)
Lineage: Eukaryota; Metazoa; Chordata; Actinopteri; Cyprinodontiformes; Poeciliidae
Source: the annotation of a RefSeq genome assembly